AUACCAGCACCCCGAGUGGUCGGGACGAUUAUUGGGCCUAAAGCAUCCGUAGCCGGUCCUACAAGUCUUCCGUUAAAUCCACCUGCUUAACAGAUGGGCUGCGGAAGGUACUAUAGGGCUAGGAGGCGGGAGAGGCAAGCGGUACUCAGUGGGUAGGGGUAAAAUCCUCUGAUCCACUGAAGACCACCAGUGGCGAAGGCGGCUUGCCAGAACGCGCUCGACGGUGAGGGAUGAAAGCUGGGGGAGCAAACCGGAUUAGAUACCCGGGUAGUCCCAGCUGUAAACGAUGCAGACACGGUGAUGGGUUGGCUUAGUGCCAACUCAGUGCCGCAGGGAAGCCGUUAAGUCUGCCGCCUGGGGAGUACGGUCGCAAGACUGAAACUCAAAUGAAUUGGCGGGG
RNAcentral lists this ribosomal RNA (400 nucleotides) under uncultured bacterium. RNAcentral describes it as "partial 16S ribosomal RNA". It matches the Rfam family "Archaeal small subunit ribosomal RNA", at positions 473 to 873 of the family's 1478-position model. The record is from RNAcentral.